UACACAUUAUAGUGAAUAAUCAUAAAAGGAUUAGUACUUCUAUUAUUACUUAAAUGAUAAGAGCUCAUCUUAUGUUUAUAAGUUCGCAUGUAUCACAAAACAAAAACUCAUUAAAAGUUUUUUUAAAUAACUUAGAAUAUAAUUUUUUAAAAACAAAAAAGAAAAGAUGUUCCAAUCGUCUGUGCCAUUGUAGUAUCCC
This 199-nucleotide long non-coding RNA is filed under the name Carica papaya (papaya). RNAcentral describes it as "long non-coding RNA (CPAP_LNC001050)". Lineage: Eukaryota; Viridiplantae; Streptophyta; Magnoliopsida; Brassicales; Caricaceae. The record is from RNAcentral.